RNAcentral lists this long non-coding RNA (304 nucleotides) under Nicotiana benthamiana. RNAcentral describes it as "long non-coding RNA (NBEN_LNC031432)". The record is from RNAcentral. Lineage: Eukaryota; Viridiplantae; Streptophyta; Magnoliopsida; Solanales; Solanaceae.
CCAGAUUUCGUUUAAUACUUCACGACCGCGGAAGAAGGGAUGUGUUUACAUUGAAGGAAUUGGGCUAAGCUAUACGAUCGCGAAUGAAUCUAUGCGAUCGCAUAGAACAAAAAGUGGGCACCUAAGACUUACACUGUGCGAUAGAGGAUGCUCCGAUGCGUUCGCAUAGAACAACAUACCAUAUCAUCAGAACUAAACUUUAUGAAAUAUUUCUAAGUUUGAAAUCAUUCCGAAACACUCCCGCGCCCUCGAGGCUCCUUACCAACACAUAAACUAACUCAACAUCAUCCUACGAACUUAACCG